ACUCUUCGACCAAGAGUCCUAAUGCUCGGAGACUUUGAGUCCUACAUGUCUGGGACUCUGUGAUCGAGAAUCAAAAUUCUCUGAUCAUGAGUUCCACACAUUUUGGGUACCGGGGUCAAGAGUCCCACUGGUUUGAGACUUUUCAAUCAGGGUUUCAUAUCAAUGAACUCUGAUGCCCGAUUGCCCAUUGAAUUUGGACUCAGUAUUUAUGAGAAGUUUAAUUAGUGAUUUGAUCGCUAAUUAACUCAAUUUGAUUGAGUAAUUAUUUUUGGAUCAAGUCCAAUUGAAUUGGAUUCAGUUGGGUUUGACCCGAUUAGGUUAAGAGUUGACCUAAUCCC
RNAcentral lists this long non-coding RNA (338 nucleotides) under Elaeis guineensis (African oil palm). RNAcentral describes it as "long non-coding RNA (EGUI_LNC075205)". The record is from RNAcentral. Lineage: Eukaryota; Viridiplantae; Streptophyta; Magnoliopsida; Arecales; Arecaceae.